AAACAAAAGAUAUUUACUCUGCUUCGUCAUGCGUGCGGCGUUUGUUUCUGCAACAUCGUUUCGUCAUGGUAGUCGUGCCAAUAAAAGCACGUCGUUUAGCUACACUUUUUUAGAUUAAAAACAAGUGGUAUCUUUUUAAUCAAUUCCUUUUCAGCUACACGAAAUAAACGGCAGGCAGGUGACACCACAUAAAUUAACAUCAAUAAUUAGCUACCACCCAUGCAUGCAUACUGAUCAUCUCACCUCGUUAACUACGUAAGUCUGUUCUCACGCUGGUCAGGUUUGUCUCUCUGAACUGUCCAGAACUCGCUAAAUAUGGCCGUCCUCAUGAAGUUUUGUUUUGUUCUUGUGGCUGGGAUGCUUUUCGGCAGCCUUACUGCGAAACCUAUGGAAGAUCCUGCACCAUCAAGGUAUUAUUAUGAUGGUGAAAGCAAUGCGUAUUUUGACGUAGGGAAGUAUAUAGAAGUAAAACGAGACAAAGACUGUCGGGAUAGCUCUCCAAGGUGUAGCAGAUACAAAAUGUGCAAGAUCAGCCGCAGUCGCAAGUACUCUUACAUCCGAAUUCGCUGCCAGAAGACGUGCGGAGUUUGUUAAUGAGGAGAACCACGCUUUAUUUGCGGAAGGAUCGAUGUCCUUACACGUAUACAAGGCCUUAGUUUCUAGUUACUUGAGUGGAAAUAAAAUUUUCAUCAUUUGCACUUGUAAAGAGAAGAUUAGCACAGUGUACACGAUUAA
Orbicella faveolata is the source of this 735-nucleotide long non-coding RNA. RefSeq lists it as uncharacterized. NCBI's taxonomy places the organism in Eukaryota, Metazoa, Cnidaria, Anthozoa, Scleractinia, Merulinidae. The record is from RefSeq and is a predicted model, not a curated record.